CGCUAAAUUUUCCAUCAUAGAAUAUGAGAAAAAUUCCGAACUGUCACAAUUGACUGAAGGAGACUGCCUUAGAAGCGAUGCUAAGAAAACUGUCACCAAUCAAGAACCUGAAUUGCAUUAUGAAUGAGGUGAACAAGUUAACGACUCAUUUUCAGAAUGUGGAUAAGGAUGCAUUUUUUAAUAAAUACGGACGUUUGAUGGAAAUUGCAAGGGUAGAAGUCUUAAGCCCAGCUGUGCGAGCCAUAGUUCAUUUUUGGGAUCCAGACUACCGGUGUUUUUCUUUUGGAAGCAUAGACCUUUGGCUAGAGAGUUUGUGGAGGAAAGGGAUUAAUAAAU
Molecule: long non-coding RNA, 336 nt
Filed under: Populus trichocarpa (black cottonwood)
Lineage: Eukaryota; Viridiplantae; Streptophyta; Magnoliopsida; Malpighiales; Salicaceae
Description: long non-coding RNA (PTRI_LNC002761)
Source: RNAcentral